ACCGGCGCACGGGUGCGUAACGCGUAUACAUCUACCUCUUACUAGAGAAUACCCCAGAGAAAUUUGGAAUAAUGCUCUAUAAUCUCGCAUGAGUAAAGGUUACGGUAGGAGAUGAGUAUGCGUCCUAUUAGCUAGAUGGUAAGGUAACGGCUUACCAUGGCUACGAUAGGUAGGGGUCCUGAGAGGGAGAUCCCCCACACUGGUACUGAGACACGGACCAGACUCCUACGGGAGGCAGCAGUGAGGAAUAUUGGGCAAUGGAGGCAACUCUGACCCAGCCAUGCCGCGUGCAGGAUGACUGCCUAUGGGUUGUAAACUGCUUUUAUAUAGGAAGAAACCUUCUCUCGUGAGAGAACUUGACGGUACUAUAUGAAUAAGGACCGGCUAACUCCGUGCCAGCAGCCGCGGUAAUACGGAGGGUCCAAGCGUUAUCCGGAAUCAUUGGGUUUAAAGGGUCCGUAGGCGGACAAUUAAGUCAGAGGUGAAAUCUUGCAGCUCAACUGUAAAAUUGCCUUUGAUACUGGUUGUCUUGAGUCACAUUGAAGUAGAUAGAAUAUGUAGUGUAGCGGUGAAAUGCUUAGAGAUUACAUAGUAUACCGUUUGCGACGGCAGUCUACUAAGUGUUGACUGACGCUGAUGGACGAAAGCGUGGGGAGCGACCAGAUAGAUACCCUUGUAGUUCCCACC
RNAcentral lists this ribosomal RNA (687 nucleotides) under uncultured bacterium. RNAcentral describes it as "bacterial SSU rRNA". It matches the Rfam family "Bacterial small subunit ribosomal RNA", at positions 94 to 801 of the family's 1533-position model. The record is from RNAcentral.